Non-coding RNA from Camellia sinensis, 1725 nucleotides. Lineage: Eukaryota; Viridiplantae; Streptophyta; Magnoliopsida; Ericales; Theaceae. The record is from RefSeq and is a predicted model, not a curated record.
UUAUUUUUAAUUAAAAAAAAAAGUCCAUAUGGAAAACACCGACGGCCUCCUGGGGAAGCCAUUAUCUUGAUAAUUAGUAUUCUUCUGUUGUUGCUCUUGAGAAAAUUUUCACGGCUUGCAAAGUUCUCUCUCACGGUUCCAUAAUCAAACAAUCACUGACUCUGUUUCUCUCUGUUCCUCACGCUUCUCUCAUCUCUUAGUCGCAUCUCUUUCUCUCUGGACGAUAUCCAUGAGAAACCAUAUCGGAGAUCCCUAUCGGAGAUGGCUCGCGCGAAGUGAAGUGAAAGGCUUUGAAGGGGAAGCAACAGAAACAUGGUGGUACUUCUUUUCUAUGGUUGAUGUGUCACAUUGUGAUAGACACUUUGAUCAACUUAAUGUGUGGCAUUCAGACACUACUAUUACUGGCAAAUGCUCCACGGUCGUAUAAUAUUCAGCCAAACAGAUGAUGUGGUUGAUAGGGAGGUUAUCCAAUAUAUUUUGGGUGGAAAGACACUGUUAUCCUGUAUAUUUCUUCUUUUGUGGUCAUAGGUUGGUACAGAUGCUUUGGAUAUGACAAUCAAGAAAUUCAGUGAUCCAAGUGAAAAAAAUCUAUUUUGCUUGAGGGCAACAUAAGUCAACUUACAAAACUCACAUUUCUGGAGUCGAUCGCCAUAUUAAAACCAUGACUAGAAUUGCAAAGAAUCUUCUUUUCUAAAAGGCUAUUUCCUUUUACACGGUGGUCUCCCCUUUUGACGUAAAACAACUGGAUCAAGUAUGGUUCUAAUCUCCUUUUGACUUUGAAACACCAUCUCCAUAAGUAGUUGAAUUAUGAUGAUUACUCACAAAACUAGAUUUAUUAUUUCCACAAUCAAUUUCAACUUCUUCUUUGAAUUUUCCUAUUAGUUCAAGUAGUUGUUCGACCACCAUAUCACACAUAUUUUCACAAUCAGUUGCCAAAUCAGCCACAUCAUUGAAGACAUUGAACAUUUUAUUAUACUGACAUGUUUCAGGCAACAUUGAAGGUUGUUAUAAUUGAUAAUCACUUUACUAUGGCACCUUUUCACAUUUUUGUUCCAUCUUCUUAAAAUGUACUUGUCUGAUAUCUCAUGGAUCUUUUCUUUCAUUAACACCACAAUUUGAUGCCUACACACUAUUCCCCUAAACUCGAACAAUCGACAACUACAAUUUGUGUCAAAGUUAUUCUUAUCAAAAUACAUAGUGAAAUGUGCUAAUCGAAGGUUCUCUCCAAAUGGAACAUCUUUACUUACUUCAUAUAGAAAAAUUGGGACCUUGUGUAUACAAAGUCAAAUUGCAAUGAAGGUGCCCUACAACCUCUUGUUGGAACUCUUUAAAUUUUGCAAUAGUGUAAGCUUUUUGAAAUUGCUUCUCAAAUGGAGAAUUAAAUUCUUCUCCAUUUUCAUUUUCCACCUUCUUCGCCAAAGCAUUCUCAUAUUGCUCCACAAAUUGUUUCAAAGUGGUUUUUGAGUUGAUGCACUCAUCAAAGAAUGCGUGCAUGCUUUCACUUCGUUGUGUGGUUGACAUUCUUGCCCAAAAAAUGUCUUUGACAAAUGUAGGUACCCAUUGAUGCCUAUCCUCAAACAAUCCAAAUAACAAUUCAUUGCUUUCAAGUUGAUAGUUCUCAAUGAACUCAUUCCAAUUUUCUUCAAAUUCCUUUUUUGUCAAGGAAUCAUAAAUUGCAUUUUGUAUACCAAAUUUUAUUGCCUCAUAUUCUUUGUAUCCUUUCAC